RNAcentral lists this ribosomal RNA (229 nucleotides) under uncultured bacterium. RNAcentral's name for it is "partial 16S ribosomal RNA". It matches the Rfam family "Bacterial small subunit ribosomal RNA", at positions 568 to 796 of the family's 1533-position model. The record is from RNAcentral.
UCCGUAGGCGGAUUGAUAAGUGAGAGGUGAAAUCCCACAGCUUAACUGUGGAACUGCCUUUGAAACUGUUAGUCUUGAGUUAUAUGGAAGUAGAUAGAAUGUGUAGUGUAGCGGUGAAAUGCAUAGAGAUUACACAGAAUACCGAUUGCGAAGGCAGUCUACUACGUAUAUACUGACGCUAAUGGACGAAAGCGUGGGGAGCGAACAGGAUUAGAUACCCUGGUAGUCC